AAAACAAAACUUAGCAGUAUUUUACUCUUCUGUGUGUCCAGGGCCCACUUGCACAAAGCGAUCUUAGCGCUACGACUGCCUUAGACUAUGUUGGAGAAUGGUAGUUACAACCAUUGUGGCGCUAACAUCGCUUUGUGCAAGUCAGUCCUGAAGUCUG
Long non-coding RNA from Haliotis rubra (blacklip abalone), 157 nucleotides. RefSeq lists it as uncharacterized. Lineage: Eukaryota; Metazoa; Mollusca; Gastropoda; Lepetellida; Haliotidae. The transcript has 4 exons. The record is from RefSeq and is a predicted model, not a curated record.